UACGUAGGGUGCAAGCGUUAAUCGGAAUUACUGGGCGUAAAGCGUGCGCAGGCGGUUAUGUAAGACAGAUGUGAAAUGCCCGGGCUUAACCUGGGAACUGCAUUUGUGACUGCAUGGCUAGAGUUUGGCAGAGGGGGGUAGAAUUCCACGUGUAGCAGUGAAAUGCGUAGAUAUGUGGAGGAACACCGAUGGCGAAGGCAGCCCCCUGGGAUAACACUGACGCUCAUGCACGAAAGCGUGGGGAGCAAACAGG
RNAcentral lists this ribosomal RNA (253 nucleotides) under uncultured bacterium. Its description in RNAcentral is "partial 16S ribosomal RNA". It matches the Rfam family "Bacterial small subunit ribosomal RNA", at positions 524 to 776 of the family's 1533-position model. The record is from RNAcentral.